AUGGCUGGUGACACUCGCUAAGCGCAAAACAAGGGUCAGUUGCGAAAGCGAUGUUUUGCGAUUUCAGAAAGAUGGUAGAAGACCGAAAACACCCAGAGAUCCCGAGGCACUAUUCUAGGAAGGCAUUGAGGCACAAUAGCUUCUGCCGAUUUGGAAAAAAAAGGAGGUGAAAAAAACAUUCGACAGAAAUAGGUUUUUCCCGUGCACAUGGUCUGAAUAGCUCAUAUAUCCAAUGAACGGUGUAACGAAAACGGUAUACAGCUGCGAAUUUCUUUUAGUUCGGAGCAAGAUGCGAGAAGUAACAGCUGUGCUCACUCUUCUGUUACUCUUUUUUAGUAGAGAGCAAGUGAUUGUAGAAGGACUUGAAGCUGGUACUGACGCCACAACAUCUAACAGUAUUGAUGAACACGCCUCGCUAACAAAUCAACUUCCGGAAAACCGCUGCCGCUCGAAGUACGAGGUAUACAGCCAGUGCGAGAGCAGCAGAUGCGCCGAGUGGAAAUGCUCGUACCUCUACAGAGGAUGGCCUCGACGCUGCACACGUGACUGCUUAGCCGGAUGUUUUUGUCGGGAAGGGUACUUCAGAAAUUCGGCCCAUCGUUGUGUAUUAGGGUACCACUGCUUCAAGGAGUGCAGUCUUUACGAGCCCAAACGCGGAGAGUAAAGCGUACUGUUUACACCAUCGAGAGAGUCACUCACUUCUGUGGUAGUUGAAUUCGGCGAAAUGGGAAAAAAAAGUUCUAGCGAUUGUGAAAGUGGAGAAAUAAAACCCAUGUCGGGAAAUUUGGGCAUCGCCAUCCCACAAUGGAUGUGGAAUUUUACUGACUUAUAUCUUUAUGAGUAAAUAUAAUUUGAUCAUGUCACAAAUGCG
Molecule: long non-coding RNA, 871 nt
Organism: Dermacentor andersoni
Lineage: Eukaryota; Metazoa; Arthropoda; Arachnida; Ixodida; Ixodidae
Source: RefSeq, a predicted model, not a curated record